This 785-nucleotide non-coding RNA is filed under the name Culex annulirostris. The record is from RNAcentral. Lineage: Eukaryota; Metazoa; Arthropoda; Insecta; Diptera; Culicidae.
UUAUUUUAUUUUGGUUAAUAUUUUUAUUAUUAUUUUAUUUUACAUGUAAAUUUUUGUGUGAAUUUAUUUAAUUUUUAAAAAAUUAUUUAAUUAAUUUAUUCGCAGUGAUUAAUAUUAAUAUAAAAAAGAAAUUUUGUAUUAGUAAUAAUAUAUAGUAUUGGUAAAAUUUGUGCCAGCUACCGCGGUUAUACAAAUAAUACAAAUAAAAAUUUUUAGUAGUAGUUAAAUUGAUUAAAUUUUAAUAUAAAUAUAAAUUUAUUAGGUGAAAUUUUUAAAUUUAUUUAUUAUUAAUUUUAAAAAUAAUUUAAGCUAUAAACUUUUUAUAAUAAACUAGGAUUAGAUACCCUAUUAUUAAAAAUAAAUAUAAGCAUACUAAAGUAGUAUUAGUUAUAUUCUUAAAAUUUAAAAAAUUUGGCGGUAUUUUAGUCUAUUCAGAGGAAUCUGUCCUGUAAUUGAUAGUCCACAUUGAACCUUACUUAAAUUUGUUUAAUUUGUAUAUCGCCGUCAUCAGAAUAUAUUAUAAGAUAAAAUUUUCUUAAUAUUUAAUAAAAUAAUAUGUCAGGUCAAGGUGCAGUUUAUGUUUAAGUAGAGAUGGAUUACAAUAAAUUUAUUUAAUAUGGAUUAUUUUUUGAAAUAGAAAUUUGAAAGUGGAUUUGAAAGUAAUAUAAAAUAGAUUAUUUAUAUGAUUUUAGCUCUAAAAUAUGCACAUAUCGCCCAUCGUUCUUAUUUUUAAAAUAAGAUAAGUUGUAACAUAGUAGAUGUACUGGAAAGUGUAUCUAGAAAGA